AAUAGAUACCCCGGUAGUCCACCCGUAAACGUUGGGACUAGUUGUGGGGUCCUUUCCACGGAUUCCGUGACGCAGCUAACGCAUUAAGUUCCCCGCCUGGGGAGUACGGCCGCAAGGCUAAAACUCAAAGGAAUUGACGGGGACCCGCACAAGCGGCGGAGCAUGCGGAUUAAUUCGAUGCAACGCGAAGAACCUUACCAAGGCUUGACAUACACCAGAACACCCUAGAAAUAGGGGACUCUUUGGACACUGGUGAACAGGUGGUGCAUGGUUGUCGUCAGCUCGUGUCGUGAGAUGUUGGGUUAAGUCCCGCAACGAGCGCAACCCUCGUUCUAUGUUGCCAGCACGUAAUGGUGGGAACUCAUGGGAUACUGCCGGGGUCAACUCGGAGGAAGGUGGGGAUGACGUCAAAUCAUCAUGCCCUUAUGUCUUGGGCUUCACGCAUGCUACAAUGGCCGGUACAAAGGGCUGCAAUACCGUGAGGUGGAGCGAAUCCCAAAAGCCGGUCCCAGUUCGGAUUGAGGUCUGCAACUCGACCUCAUG
RNAcentral lists this ribosomal RNA (543 nucleotides) under uncultured bacterium. RNAcentral describes it as "bacterial SSU rRNA". It matches the Rfam family "Bacterial small subunit ribosomal RNA", at positions 777 to 1322 of the family's 1533-position model. The record is from RNAcentral.